UAGAGAAAGAGAGCUUCUGAUUGGAGAAAGAGAUUCUGACCUCCCGCCUUCAGUAACAAGGAUUCAUCCUGUUGUUGUAUUCUGAACUAGCAGGGAAUCUCUGUUACUGGGGGUGAGGGUACAGAGAGCUCACACAAACACAUUCCGUCACACACACGAAGACGCACACACAGACACACACGUUUGUUAUUUUACUGCUUACACUUCUCCUGUACUGUGCUAUGUAUGUACGGUAUCUAAUUUGAUUAAAGAUGUGAGAAGAUGUUCUUGACUUCUGGGGUCUGUAUUACUAACUAGACUAUUAUUGUGUGAGAAAUUGCUUGACUCAGUGUUAAGGUUCUGAAGGGAGACCGUAUUGACUCAGUGUAUAGGUUUUUCAGGGAGUCAGUAUUGACUCAGUGUUAAGGUUUUGAAGGGAGACAGUAUUGACUCAGUGUUAAGGUUUUGAAGGGAGACAGUACUGACUCAGUGUAUAGGUUUUUCAGGGAGUCAGUAUUGACUCAGUGUGGAGGUUUUGAAGGGAGACAGUAUUGACUCUGUGUAGAGGUUUUUUUGGGGAGUCAGUAUUGACUCAGUGUGGAGGUUUUUCAGGGAGUCCGUAUUGACUUAGUGUAGAGGCUUCAGUGUAGAGGUUUUGCGGGGAGACAGUAUUGACUCAGUGUAGAGGUUUUUCAGGGAGACAGUAUUGACUGUGUAGAGGUUUUUCAGGGAGUCCGUAUUGACUUAGUGUAGAGGUUUCAGUGUAGAGGUUUUGCGGGGAGACAGUAUUGACUCAGUGUAGAGGUUUUUCAGGGACACAGUAUUGACUGUGUAGAGGUUUUUCAGGGAGUCAGUAUUGACUCAGUGUAGAGGUUUUUCAGGGAGACAGUAUUGACUCUGUGUAGAGGCUUUUCGGGGAGUCAGUAUUGACUCAGUGUAGGGGUUUUUCAGGGAGUCAGUAUUGACUCAGUGUUAAGGUUUUGAAGGGAGUCAGUAUUGACUCUGUGUAGAGGUUUUUCAGGGAGACAGUAUUGACUCCGUGUAGAGAUUUUUCAGGGAGUCAGUAUUAACUCAGUGUUAUUAAGGUUUUGAAGGGAGACAGUAUUGACUCAGUGUAGAGGUUUUGCAGGGAGACAGUAUUGACUCAGUGAAGAUGUUUUGCAGGGAGACAGUAUUGACUCAGUGAAGAUGUUUUGCAGGGAGACAGUAUUAACUCAGUGUAGAGGUUUUUCAGGGAGACAGUAUUGACUCAGUGAAGAUGUUUUGCAGGGAGACAGUAUUGACUCAGUGAAGAUGUUUUGCAGGGAGACAGUAUUAACUCAGUGUAGAGGUUUUUCAGGGAGACAGUAUUGACUCAGUGAAGAUGUUUUGCAGGGAGACAGUAUUGACUCAGUGAAGAUGUUUUUCAGGGAGACAGUAUUAACUCAGUGUAGAGGUUUUUCAGGGAGACAGUAUUGACUCAGUGAAGAUGUUUUGCAGGGAGACAGUAUUGACUCAGUGAAGAUGUUUUGCAGGGAGACAGUAUUAACUCAGUGUAGAGGUUUUUCAGGGAGACAGUAUUGACUCAGUGAAGAUGUUUUGCAGGGAGACAGUAUUGACUCAGUGAAGAUGUUUUUCAGGGAGUCAGUAUUGACUCAGUGUAGAGGUUUUUCAGGGAGACAGUAUUGACUCAGUGAAGAUGUUUUGCAGGGAGACAGUAUUGACUCAGUGAAGAUGUUUUUCAGGGAGUCAGUAUUGACUCAGUGUAGAGUUUUUUCAGGGAGACAGUAUUGACUCAGUGAAGAUGUUUUGCAGGGAGACAGUAUUGACUCAGUGUAGAGUUUUUUUCAGGGAGACAGUAUUGACUCAGUGAAGAUGUUUUGCAGGGACAGUAUUGCAAUUUUCCUGUAUGUGUUUUUACAUUUCCCUCCUCUGAAAUAAAUAAAUAUUGUGUUUAUCAACACUGAAUCACCA
Molecule: long non-coding RNA, 1932 nt
Organism: Oncorhynchus keta (chum salmon)
Lineage: Eukaryota; Metazoa; Chordata; Actinopteri; Salmoniformes; Salmonidae
Exons: 2
Source: RefSeq, a predicted model, not a curated record